This 520-nucleotide ribosomal RNA is filed under the name uncultured fungus. RNAcentral describes it as "eukaryotic LSU rRNA". The stretch from base 179 to 332 matches the Rfam family "5.8S ribosomal RNA". The record is from RNAcentral. Lineage: Eukaryota; Fungi.
GAGUAAGGGUGCUCAGCGCCCGACCUCCACCCUUUGUUGUUAAAACUACCUUGUUGCUUUGGCGGGACCGCUCGGUUCCGAGCCGCUGGGGAUUCGUCCCAGGCGAGUGCCCGCCAGAGUUAAACCAAACUCUUGUUAUUAAACCGGUCGUCUGAGUUAAAAUUUUGAAUUAAAUCAAAACUUUCAACAACGGAUCUCUUGGUUCUCGCAUCGAUGAAGAACGCAGCGAAAUGCGAUAAGUAAUGUGAAUUGCAGAAUUCAGUGAAUCAUCGAAUCUUUGAACGCACAUUGCGCCCCUUGGUAUUCCGAGGGGCAUGCCUGUUCGAGCGUCAUUACACCACUCAAGCUAUGCUUGGUAUUGGGCGUCGUCCUUAGUUGGGCGCGCCUUAAAGACCUCGGCGAGGCCUCACCGGCUUUAGGCGUAGUAGAAUUUAUUCAAUUAACGUCUGUCAAUGGAGAGGACUUCUGCCGACUGAAACCUUUAUUUUUUACAGGUUGACCUCGGAUCAGGUAGGGAUAC